RNAcentral lists this transfer RNA (73 nucleotides) under Strongyloides ratti. Its description in RNAcentral is "tRNA SRAE_0000600022". It matches the Rfam family "tRNA". Rfam says of the family: Transfer RNA (tRNA) molecules are approximately 80 nucleotides in length. Their secondary structure includes four short double-helical elements and three loops (D, anti-codon, and T loops). Further hydrogen bonds mediate the characteristic L-shaped molecular structure. tRNAs have two regions of fundamental functional importance: the anti-codon, which is responsible for specific mRNA codon recognition, and the 3' end, to which the tRNAs corresponding amino acid is attached (by aminoacyl-tRNA synthetases). tRNAs cope with the degeneracy of the genetic code in two manners: having more than one tRNA (with a specific anti-codon) for a particular amino acid; and 'wobble' base-pairing, i.e. permitting non-standard base-pairing at the 3rd anti-codon position. The record is from Rfam by way of RNAcentral. Lineage: Eukaryota; Metazoa; Nematoda; Chromadorea; Rhabditida; Strongyloididae.
GGUUCUGUGGCGCAAUGGAUAACGCGUCUGCCUACGGAGCAGAAGAUUGUAGGUUCGAAUCCUGCCAGAAUCG